This is a long non-coding RNA of Manis pentadactyla (Chinese pangolin), 1712 nucleotides long. RefSeq lists it as uncharacterized. NCBI's taxonomy places the organism in Eukaryota, Metazoa, Chordata, Mammalia, Pholidota, Manidae. The record is from RefSeq and is a predicted model, not a curated record. The transcript has 3 exons.
CGGCGCCACCUUCCCGCGCUCCCUCCGCCGCCGGCAGAGCGCUGGUAACGCCCAGGAGCUUUGAUGCUUUCCCACGCUCCCGUUAGCCUGUAUUUAGGUGCAGAGAUCCGCCCCUUUGGGCCCCUGCAGGCCUUGGCCCCUCCCUCCACUUCUCCAAGCUGUUCAAGGUAAAACGGGCCCCGUGGAUGAUUGCAAAGUUUCCCCAGAGACCACCAGUUGCUGGGGCGGGGUGAACCAUGAGGUUCAUCUUCUACACAAGGCCAGUCCUCCAAGCCUGAGAGAGGCGGCUGCUGACCUCCUGCCCAGAAGUCAACACGGAGUGAAGCAGAGUGAGGAACAGGCACACGUUCCCAACGAAACAUAGAGCCUGAAGAAAACCAAAUGACAAGGACGAAACCUCUCCAGGAUGACACGGCUUCUUACUGGCUUCUUAGGGACCUGGUCACAGAGUUCCUCCUGGAGGAAGGGGUGGUGAAGUCGCAAACAAAGAGCUGAUGUUGUGGCUAUUACUGACUGAGUCACUAUAUAAAGAGCUCUGCCCAGUGCUCUAGGCGGAGGCAGAAACAAGGAGGACUACAAGGAGGAUCACAGAUCUGCAGACUGCUGGAUGCAGACACAUCCUAGUGCUUGAACUAUCGCCAGGAGAACAAAGUUGGGCAAUAAACCCUUUUAUCCCAAGAAUGUUCCAUUGUCAUUCCUCAGUCUCACUGAAUCCAUAGUGAACUUGUUUGCAGCUGAAACCCAUUGACAAGACAACAGAAGACUUCAAGCUAAAUGUUACACUAAUGCAUUUGUCCUGGGGAAAAUAAUUGGUAAAACAGGAUGCAUAUUUAUUCAUUUCUUAUGGCUUAAUCCUUUAAAUUCUCAUCAAUAAAAUUACAAAGUUGUGUCAAGACAGCCAUACUCUAAUUAUAUGCAUCCUGUUUUUUUAGCACAGUAGAGAACACCAAAUCUGAUUUUUAACUUAAAUUAUAAGGCAUAAUUUUUAUAAAAAUACAAUUACAUCUAAGUUUUUACAGCAUUUUAUAAAUUUUACUAGGUUGCUUAAUUUGAAUACUUAUUAUAUCAUCUUAAUUUUGUAUAAUAUCUUCCAAUAUCAUUCAUUGUUUUGGGGAAAACAAGUAUGAAGAAUACUAGAACCAAAAUCAUUCAAUUUUUAAAAAUCACUUAUCAUUUAUUCAACAAAUAUUUACUUAUUUCUUACUAUGUGGCAGUUAUCAUAUUUAGGAUUGAGUUUAUAUUGAUGAAAUAGAAAAAAUAUCGUCAUUUAAAAUUAGUGACAAAUCUAUCAUAAUGAUAAAGUGAAAUCAUUUUAAUACAAUACAAAUAGUUCAGUAAUUCUUGACCAAUUCAGUUUUCAGUUAGUGGUCCAAAAACACUACUUUGUCUGACAGAAGAAAUACAAAGAAAGAGUUAAUGCUAUUUUACUCUGGUGUUUGAGGAGCCAUAAUUGAGACUGUGUGCAAGUUUGCAUUUUUUGUAACUGGUUCAACUUGUCAUAAUCAGGAACAACUAUUGUUAAACAUGGAAACUCCAGUUUUAAAGGGUGUGUUAAAAAGUUAGAUAUGCUUCCAAUACCACAUUCAUGGUAAUGUGAGCAUUCUAACAUAUGGUACAGCUCCUAAAUGCCUUCAUUUAGGUUAAUUUUGAAAAUUAAUCCUAAAAACUGCCAUUUGCCAAUACAUAAAAAUUUCAGAGAAGGACUUGAAAAA